CAUAGCGGAGGAAAAGAAACCAACAGGGAUUGCCUUAGUAGCGGCGAGUGAAGCGGCAAAAGCUCAAAUUUGAAAUCUGGUACUUUCAGUAUCCGAGUUGUAAUUUGUAGAAGCAACUUUGGUGAUGGUCUUUGCAUAAGUUCCUUGGAAUAGGACGUCAUAGAGGGUGAGAAUCCCGUUUAUGGUGAAGAACCCACACUAUGUAAAGUGCUUUCGAAGAGUCGAGUUGUUUGGGAAUGCAGCUCAAAGUGGGUGGUAAAUUCCAUCUAAAGCUAAAUAUUGGCGAGAGACCGAUAGCGAACAAGUACUGUGAAGGAAAGAUGAAAAGAACUUUGAAAAGAGAGUGAAAAAGUACGUGAAAUUGUUGAAAGGGAAGGGAUCUAAAUCAGACAUGGUAUUUUGUGAUCAACAGUCUUUCGGGACUGUGCACUCGCAUUUUACUAGGCCAGCAUCGGUUAGAAGGGGGUAAAAAAGAUUUUGGAAUGUGGCUCCUCGGAGUGUUAUAGCCAAGGUUAAUUGCCCCAUUUCUGACCGAGGACCGCGU
This 544-nucleotide ribosomal RNA is filed under the name Zygoascus meyerae. RNAcentral's name for it is "eukaryotic LSU rRNA". It matches the Rfam family "Eukaryotic large subunit ribosomal RNA", at positions 46 to 598 of the family's 3401-position model. The record is from RNAcentral. Lineage: Eukaryota; Fungi; Ascomycota; Dipodascomycetes; Dipodascales; Trichomonascaceae.